Molecule: long non-coding RNA, 1390 nt
Filed under: Homo sapiens (human)
Lineage: Eukaryota; Metazoa; Chordata; Mammalia; Primates; Hominidae
Description: long non-coding RNA NONHSAT157253.1
Source: RNAcentral
CUAAGCUAUUACCUGCACUAUUCCCUAGAGGCCUUUUUUUUCCCCAUUACAGUGAGUUUGAGGAGAUGGUGACAGAAUAGAGGAUGUUGUUAUAGCACCUUCCAGGACUCUGUUUAAUGAUCUGGAUGUAGCUUUGGUAAAUGUCUAAACACAUGUAAGUAGAAUAAUACCACAGAUGAUUCUGCCUGGAACCUACAUACAUUUUAGAAUCAAACUAGUCUAGUUUUUACCUUCAAUGGAGAGAGUGGUGGUGAUAUUUUCCUCAGAAAGAAGUUUACUAGUAGCUUGGGUAACUUGGAGUUGGCCUUGCCAGUGGCAAAAUAGUAUCACCAGGAAAAGUGCUCAUCUUUCUCCUGUCAAUAUUUGGUUAUCCCUCUGGACUUUUCUCAGUUCCACAGAUACCUCAAUGGGCUGCUGCCUCUACCUGCAUAGUCUUCUUCUGGUACUGGAACCACUCUAUAUAAAUUGUUGAUGAAUAAGUAUCCUGCUUGUAGAAACUCAGGCACCAACUGGAAGACCCAGAGGCUGUGGGUCAACCCACCUGCAUCUGUGACAUCACAGCUCUAUAAACAAUGUUUGUAUGUUUUUAUUCAGAAAACAAAGAUAUUUCUAAUUUAAAAAAAUUUAAAAAAACUUAAAGAAUGCUGUCUUUUAAAAAAUAUUUAUUUAUUGGCAUGAGUUAAGAAUCACCCAAAUUUCUUUUACAUGCCUAUAAAAAUGAUAUAAUUUGUUUUCUUUAAGUUACUGAUUUACUGUGUAAUAUUUAUGAAUUGUUAAAUAUUGCAUUGGGGUUGGAUUCCCAAUUUGAUUUAUUACUUUCCUAUUAUAUUGCUUAAUUUAGAGUAGUUUAUUUAGAUUGUCAUAUCUACAGCUAACUACAAUCAAUUCACUUCUAAUUUUGUAAAAACUUCAGCAGCUCUAAGGAUUGAGUUAGCCAUUGCCUUGUAAUUAUAACGGGUAACUAUCUUUUUGAUCCUUGACUUGGAAUGAAUAGUUGACACUGAAAUUGCUAAAGAAUAAUGUGGAAAAUCCCUCUCACACUGUUCACCUUCAUUGCUGUGGAUAAUCUUUAACAACUUUAUUUUCUCAGUUGCUCUGUUCAGGUUUUUUACCUCUUACUAUGUUAAUUUUGAUGUUAGUUUUGCUGUUAUUCUAGUACUUGUUGGUCUGUUUUACAGAAUAUGAUCCCUUUCAUUGCUAUUUCUAAAUUUAUCACAAAACUGUGAGAGAAAUCCAUUAUAAUUUAAUCAUUUUAUCCAUUACGAUGUAUGAUAUACCCUUUGUAAUGGUGAUGUCUUAUUUUGAUUAAACUUAAUUAUAUAUUUUUUUAUUUUGACUUCAUAAAAACCAUAUUUUGGAUUAUUCAUUACUUUUACUAAUUUUUAGCCCU